Molecule: ribosomal RNA, 440 nt
Filed under: uncultured Duganella sp.
Lineage: Bacteria; Pseudomonadati; Pseudomonadota; Betaproteobacteria; Burkholderiales; Oxalobacteraceae
Description: bacterial SSU rRNA
Rfam family: Bacterial small subunit ribosomal RNA
Source: RNAcentral
GGAAUUUUGGACAAUGGGCGCAAGCCUGAUCCAGCAAUGCCGCGUGAGUGAAGAAGGCCUUCGGGUUGUAAAGCUCUUUUGUCAGGGAAGAAACGGGUCUUUCUAAUACAGAGGCCUAAUGACGGUACCUGAAGAAUAAGCACCGGCUAACUACGUGCCAGCAGCCGCGGUAAUACGUAGGGUGCAAGCGUUAAUCGGAAUUACUGGGCGUAAAGCGUGCGCAGGCGGUUUUGUAAGUCUGUUGUGAAAUCCCCGGGCUCAACCUGGGAAUGGCAAUGGAGACUGCAAGGCUAGAGUUUGGCAGAGGGGGGUAGAAUUCCACGUGUAGCAGUGAAAUGCGUAGAUAUGUGGAGGAACACCGAUGGCGAAGGCAGCCCCCUGGGUCAAAACUGACGCUCAUGCACGAAAGCGUGGGGAGCAAACAGGAUUAGAUACCCUUG